Molecule: ribosomal RNA, 169 nt
Filed under: uncultured bacterium
Lineage: Bacteria
Description: partial 16S ribosomal RNA
Rfam family: Bacterial small subunit ribosomal RNA
Source: RNAcentral
ACUCCUACGGGAGGAGCAGGCGGGAUAUUGCGCAAUGGAGGAAACUCUGACGCAUGACGCCGCGUAUAGGAAGAAGGUUUCGGAUUGUAAACUAUUGUCGUUAGGGAAGAUACAAGACAGUACCUAAGGAGGAAGCUCCGGCUAACUACGUGCCAGCAGCCGCGGUAAU